CAGGAGGCGAUGAAGGACGUGGCACGCUGCGAAAAGCCAUGGGGAGCCGCGAGCAGGCUUUGAUCCGUGGAUAUCCGAAUGGGGCAACCCACCCGCAAGGGUAUCUUCACAUGAAUCCAUAGUGUGGAGAGGCAAACCCGGGGAACUGAAACAUCUCAGUACCUGGAGGAAAAGACAUCAACAGAGAUUCCGCUAGUAGUGGCGAGCGAACGCGGAGCAGGCCAGUGGUCAAGCUGGGACAAGCAGAACGGUCUGGAAAGUCCGGCCAUAGCGGGUGAUAGCCCCGUAUGCGUAAAGACAGUUUGAUCCUUGAGUAAGGCGGGACACGUGAAAUCCUGUCUGAACAUGGGGGGACCACCCUCCAAGCCUAAAUACUCCCCUGGUGACCGAUAGCGAACAAGUACCGUGAGGGAAAGGUGAAAAGCACCCCGAAAGGGGAGUG
This 442-nucleotide ribosomal RNA is filed under the name uncultured bacterium. RNAcentral describes it as "bacterial LSU rRNA". It matches the Rfam family "Bacterial large subunit ribosomal RNA", at positions 40 to 540 of the family's 2925-position model. The record is from RNAcentral.